AGGGUUCGAUUAUGGCUCAGGAUGAACGCUGGCGGCGUGCUUAACACAUGCAAGUCGAACGAAGCACUUUGCUUGAUCCCUUCGGGGUGAUUGCUUUGUGACUGAGUGGCGGACGGGUGAGUAACGCGUGGGUAACCUGCCUCAUACAGGGGGAUAACAGCUGGAAACGGCUGCUAAUACCGCAUAAGCGCACAGUACCGCAUGGUACGGUGUGAAAAACUCCGGUGGUAUGGGAUGGACCCGCGUCUGAUUAGCCAGUUGGCGGGGUAACGGCCCACCAAAGCGACGAUCAGUAGCCGACCUGAGAGGGUGACCGGCCACAUUGGGACUGAGACACGGCCCAA
RNAcentral lists this ribosomal RNA (344 nucleotides) under uncultured bacterium. RNAcentral describes it as "bacterial SSU rRNA". It matches the Rfam family "Bacterial small subunit ribosomal RNA", at positions 8 to 334 of the family's 1533-position model. The record is from RNAcentral.